CUGCGCAGCCGCGGGGCGGCCGUCGCGCAUGCGGGGCUCACACGGCUGCAGCCGGCGCCGCUGCCACUCCCGGGAGCAUGAAGGACCGAACCCAGGAGCUCCGCACGGCCAAGGACAGCGAUGAUGAUGAUGAUGUCACUGUCACCGUGGACCGAGACCGCUUCAUGGAUGAGUUCUUUGAACAGGUGGAGGAGAUUCGAGGCUUCAUUGACAAGAUCGCAGAGAACGUGGAGGAGGUGAAGCGGAAGCACAGUGCCAUCCUGGCCUCCCCCAACCCCGAUGAGAAGACGAAGGAGGAGCUGGAAGAACUCAUGUCCGACAUAAAGAAGACAGCAAACAAAGUUCGUUCCAAGUUAAAGAGCAUCGAGCAGUCCAUCGAGCAAGAGGAAGGCCUGAACCGCUCCUCUGCUGACCUGAGGAUCCGGAAGACACAGCACUCCACGCUGUCCAGAAAGUUUGUGGAGGUCAUGUCGGAGUACAACGCCACGCAGUCCGACUACCGCGAGCGCUGCAAGGGCCGUAUCCAGAGGCAGCUGGAGAUCACCGGCAGGACCACGACCAGUGAGGAGCUAGAGGACAUGCUGGAGAGUGGGAACCCCGCCAUCUUUGCCUCUGGGAUCAUCAUGGACUCCAGCAUCUCGAAGCAGGCUCUGAGCGAAAUUGAGACGCGGCACAGCGAGAUCAUCAAGCUGGAGAACAGCAUCCGUGAGCUGCACGACAUGUUCAUGGACAUGGCCAUGCUUGUGGAGAGCCAGGGUGUUUUCCUGAAGUCCUGCCUCGAGCCCCAACCCAACCCUGAGGAGGGGGCCCUCUGGAGCUCGGGUGCCCCCCGCCCCACAGGGGGAGAUGAUUGACAGGAUCGAGUACAACGUGGAACACGCGGUAGACUACGUGGAGAGGGCCGUGUCUGACACCAAGAAAGCCGUCAAGUACCAGAGCAAGGCGCGCCGGAAGAAAAUCAUGAUCAUCAUCUGCUGUGUGAUCCUGGGCAUCGUCAUCGCCUCCACUGUCGGGGGCAUCUUCGCCUAGAAGCCACCCAAACUGCCACUCCACUCCGAGUGGGCCACUCUGAGGAGGCCCUGGCUGCUGCUACUUGGCUGGGCUGCCCUCCCAACCCCCGCCUCUGGCUCAGAGCACCCUCCCUCCUGGCCCCCAUGCUCCCUUCUCUGCCAUGGGCCCUCCGUCCCCGCCCCGUGUCGUGUGCAUGAUCUCUGUGUGCGUCUGUAUGGAAGAGGCAGAGGGAGGCAGCCAGCGGGGCGGGACGCAGUGUGUGCAGCGAGGGGCAGACCCAGGCAGGGCCGCCAGGGUGACACAGGCCAUCCUUGCCUUCAGUAACUCGGUGGGACCGGGUUCUCCUCUUCCCUGGGGACCCUAACCUUGCCUCCAACUGACCUGCCCUGUCCUCUGGCCUCUCCAGCUGUCCCCACAAGCAGAGCCCUGAGGGGUGGGGACCAGCUGGCCACAUGGUGCUGCUUUUCAGGUUAGGGGAGAGGUGGCCGUGAGGGACAGCCCAGCUCUGAGCCUCAAUCGCUGAUCACUGCCAGGGAGACUCAGGCUGCCAUGGCUCCAGGCUCCCUCCCCUGCCUAGGGGCAAAGUCCAUCGGGUCCUGGGCCUCAGCUUCCCUUCUGACAUUCCUCCAGCCCCAGGAGCAACCCCUUGGGCUGGGCCUGACCCCAGGUGUCCCUCUGGAAGGGGCUGGUUGGUGCCCCAUCUCCAGCCACCCCAGCAGCCAGGGAGGCAGAGCAGGCUGCUGUCAGGCCCUCGAGCCAGCGUUGCAUGUUUGGGAUGGUGGCCCCUGCUGUCUUGCGCUCUGGGAAGUCAGAUGUCAUUUCAGGCCUGCAGUCUCAUCCUGCCCUUGCCAUCCCCCAUCGACGUGCCACGUGGGUGUCAGGUGUCCCGGAUGCAGUAUUCGGCAGCCAGCCAGGGAGGGCUACCUCGUCCUCCUCACCACCUUGGGGCUUCUCAUGGGAAAUGUGCCCCCGCCCCAGCACCCCCUCCCUCGUGGACAGGCAGGGAGAUGCAUGCGAGUGCAUGCAGCAGGGGAUGGGGCCGUGUCCGUGUGCCCCACCCUCCCUCGGCUUUACUCCUGCCCAGUGACUGUAACCGUCCGUGUUGCCUUCUUGAACAGCGAUUCCCCCCAACCCCUUCACCAAAGGUCUUGGUACAACCAGCUGCCCAUUUUGUGAAAUUUUUAUGUAGAAUAAACAUUUGUAUCUGUA
This is an RNA transcript of Cercocebus atys (sooty mangabey), 2220 nucleotides long. It is a transcript of the gene named syntaxin 1A (brain), with no coding region annotated. NCBI's taxonomy places the organism in Eukaryota, Metazoa, Chordata, Mammalia, Primates, Cercopithecidae. The record is from RefSeq and is a predicted model, not a curated record. The transcript has 10 exons.